Molecule: long non-coding RNA, 1194 nt
Organism: Cercocebus atys (sooty mangabey)
Lineage: Eukaryota; Metazoa; Chordata; Mammalia; Primates; Cercopithecidae
Exons: 2
Source: RefSeq, a predicted model, not a curated record
UGCCCGCCUCGGCCUCCCAAAGUGCUGGGAUUACAACAGGCGUGAGCCACUGCGCCCAGCCAGAGAUAUACUUUUAAAUGGAAGACUUGAACAUACUUUUGGCUGCACUGAAAGGUUGAAAAUAUGGGAAAGACAAGGGAUAACUGGUGGAGAACGUCUCAGAGUAGACACGAAGGGAUGGAUAGGAUCACACAAGCAGUGAAAUUGUAUAGGAAAAGAAAAAAGAUCUUUCUUACUAUGAGAGAGGGAUAUUAAGUCCCAAGACUGUUCAUUCAACAACCAUUUAUUGAAUAAACAUUUACUGAAUAUUUGCCAUAUACCAGGUACUGUGCAAAUGUCAGGGGAUACAAAUGAAUAACUCAGUCCCUGACUUCAAAGAGUUCGCAGCUUAGUGGGCAAAAUACAGUAACUGUAAUAUGUUCUAAGUACUAAUACGCCACAGUGGAAAGGCCAGCAUGGUAGCAUAGAACUUAGAAGAAGGGCUGGAAUUUAAGACAACUUCUGUCUGACACUUUCUCCGUGACAUGGAUGAAGCUAUCUGCCAAGUGUUUUUAGGGGUGGAGGGGUAUUAGGCAAUGUGUAGGAAGAGAAGGAAUGUUCAAAACAGCUGCCCAGAUAAAACAACAGCAACUUGUAUACAAGAUUUCUAUGUCCUGGGUACUAUAAAAAGUGCUUUUAUACAUAUUACCUCUUUGAUUCUCAAAACAAUCCUAUUAUUUUCGUUUUACCAAGAAAAAAACCUGGGACUUAGAGAUUAAAAACUAAGAGGCACUUAAGGACUACAGUGAGACUGGAAACUGUUUUCCAUAGUAGCAACAAUUUACAAUUUACAUAAUUGUAUCAUUUUCUCCUGCUGUGUCUCUUAGACCAUGAAUAGCAACUAAUCCAGCAUCAUGAGUUUACAGGGCUAGGGAUGGUAUAGCAGAAGGAUAAGGGAAGUAGGGAGUUAAAGGAAUAGGGAAAUGGGAAAGAAAGAGAUUCUCAUAGUUGAUCAUUGAGACCAUGGCUCUGGGAAACAAAGGUAAGGCAGACUUGGGGAAGAAAAUGAAGGAAUUAAGGAAUCUGACAAUAUUUAGCCGUAGAAAGAAAAUUAGUAAAACACAAAAUUGAGGUAGAAUGAACAUUUUUAAAAUAACAUUGAUGAAAGAGUUUAAAGUGAUGAAUGACCCAUGGCAUUGAGUUUCUUCAGAAGAA